This 1617-nucleotide long non-coding RNA is filed under the name Homo sapiens (human). RNAcentral describes it as "HSALNT0216075". The record is from RNAcentral. Lineage: Eukaryota; Metazoa; Chordata; Mammalia; Primates; Hominidae.
CUUGGUCUCCCAGCAGCUGCCCCUUGAGGGGAGCGAAGCAAGGUUACAAAGUGCCGGGAGCCGUGCAGGGCCAGUGAACCCCUCGCUGAGACUCAGUUUGCUGCCAUCACAAGUGCUCUGAGAAUCCUGGAGAGGGAGGAUAUUGGAGACAAACGGGACUGCUGCCCGCCUUUUAGGCGACCGUUGGAGGCUGCUCUGUGCCGGACACAGGCAGGCUCCCACAGCUCAGAAGUCAGCGGAGCAGAGUCCCCAGGAAACCAGGGUCAGGGAUGGAGGCUGCUGAGGAGCGGGUCUGGGAGGUGGAGGCCAGAUACAAGAAAACCACAGUACCAGUAAAUGACAAAGGCUGGAUCUUAACCCAAGUCCUCCGACUCUGAAGGCCAUACCCAACAGGUCCCAUUUUAUUUGUUUUACUUUUUUUUAAUUGAAGAAAAAAAAACUAGCAUUCCCCUACAGUGCCCCCCACCUGGUGGGGACAUCUUGGGUUGGCAAGGCCACCACUUUCAAGAGUAGAAGUGUUUUUCAGCAGGAGGAGUUGGCUGCACCAAAGGAGCUCAGGAGAAGCUGGAGUCUCAGGCCCAGCAGGAACAGCCAGAGGUUUUGCAGCUUUGCCCAGCGGCUGGGUUCGCCGAAGGGUCUCCCUGGGGGUUCCCAGCAUGAGCCGAAGCCACCCUCCCCUGUGGGAUCUGUGAGGCCAGGCAUUGGGCCUCUUUAGGCCUCAGUUUCCUCCCCUGUCAUAGGCAACUGACAGUCCCUCUGGAGCGCCACUGGGGCUGCAGAGGGAGGCCGGAGAGAUGGUGCCCCCCCUCCUCCCCGCCACCCCCACACACAGCCCUCAGCAGGAUGGUGGCUGCCUGGCCGAUUGCUUUUGCAUUUGCAGCAGAGCGGGGGAGUGAGGCCAAGCUGAGUGCCCCCUCCCCCUGCCCAGCCAGCUCAGACCCAGGCGGUGGAGCAGGAAGGCUCUGGGGAAAACAGUGUGAGUCACCGGGCGGCCAGAGUGUGUCCUUCCCUGCUAGCGCACUACACGGCAGGUUUCAUAGGUAAUGAUGUCAUUUAUGAGGCUCCCGCUUGGGGCUGUGUCUGAGUCAGCCUGGCUGUGUCGUGACCAAGCGGAGGCUGGCAGCAGCGAGGCGUGGGCACGGGCUCUGCCGCCGGGCUCUGGCCUCUGCCCCCUCGUGGGGCCCAGGCUGCCAGCCCCAGGCCUGGAACGGGCAGGCAGUGGGGCUGGGGGAGCCGUUUGAGACCUCGGAUUGAUGAAGAAGCAUGCAUUUUCGUGACCCUGGCUCCUGCCUUGGAACGGGGGGCUCGCAUGCAGUGGAGGGGGACCCAGGAGUGAGCCCCGACUUCAGGAGGUUGCUCCCUGCAAAGUGCUUGUUGGGCGAAGGCCAGUGACAUUCUGUGCGAAUCCCUGCUGAAGGCAGAUGGCCUCCGUUGUUAAACCUCCCGCUUAACAAACAUCAUCUCCGAACAUACAGACACACAAACAUAUUUACAUUUUUAUAAUGUGUAUUUAUUAUUCAAAUAGCUUGACAGCAAAGUGUUUGAAAACGAAGAGCAGGAAUUCCGCGGUUCCUGCCCGGCCUCGCCAUCCAGCUGGGAGAAGAGCAUGGUCAUUUC